Phascolarctos cinereus (koala) is the source of this 1576-nucleotide non-coding RNA. The record is from RefSeq and is a predicted model, not a curated record. NCBI's taxonomy places the organism in Eukaryota, Metazoa, Chordata, Mammalia, Diprotodontia, Phascolarctidae.
GGAAGUGUGGUUAGAGCAGCCUAGUGCAAAGCCCUCCAGCCUGUUCCUUGGUUUAUCACCCUAGGGUUGGGGAUGGGGCCUACUAGGUGCUCUGACCAUUCCAGUUUCCCCUCCAUGCUCAGCUCAAGACCCCAAGGGGGCGCUAUCUCAUGGCUUCUGGAAAGGAAGUCAAGUUUCUUCUCCUCACAGCCCAAGUAGGGGAUGGGCUCAGAGCAGUCCUAGAAAAGUUGCCUGCCCCUCUCCAACCUCAGUUUCCCCUCUGGAGGGGAGGAGCGCUCAGUGCUGCUCCCUCUGAGGAGGGCCGAAGAGAGCCUCAGUUUACCCCUCCAGCCCAACGUCUGGGGUCCGGGCCCGGCGCUGAGUCCCGGUAUUCUGCAGGAGGGGGGGCGUGGCCCUGCCUGGGCGGCCCCCUGACAUCAGUGGUGACGGACUCCAGCCUCCGCGACAAGGCCAGCCACUGGGGCUAUAAAGGCAGCCCCUCGCCGGCCCCCAGGCACUUUGCCCGUGGGCAGGUGAAUGCCGCAGAAGGACCUGGAGAGGUUGGAAGGCAGAGGAAGACUAGCUGCUCCCUCUCUCGGGGGCGGGGCCCAUGGGUAUUGUCAAUCUCUGGGUCUAACCCCACCUUCUGGGUCUUGCGUCAACGCUCGCGAGGCCCCGCCUCAUCCGCUGUCCAUUGGUCCAUAGCAGGAUGGGCUCCGCCCCCUAACCAAUCACAGUCUUUGGCGCCAGAAUUCGAACUGAUGUUUUGACUUGAAUUCCAACGCCAGGUCUGGGAUUACUUUUCGUCGGCUCUCAGUUUUGGGGUCGGGAGCGCGAUGCUUCAAUCCUGACCCUCAAUCUCGGCCCCUGAUCCUCAGGCGCCUAGGAGGCCCGAGCUACGGGAAAUUGCUGGUGGGGCAGGGGGGUUGGUAUGUGCCACGGGAGGGGACGCGGAAGGAUCCGGUGCUUCGUGGUGUAGUAGCGGCGGAGGGACACAUGGGACUGAAGCAAGAGUGACAGCUGGGGGCAGUGGGAGGCAGAGGGAAGCAGAGGGAGGAGGAGGGGGAAAGAGAGGAAUACACGUCAAACUGACCUGGGUCCGAGGAGGAUCGACUGGUGGAGCGAGCGGCCGCGGACCGCGGGGAGGACAUGAGGCAGAUUUUUAUUCUAUUGUGAAAGUGAAUACUUUUGGAUAUAUUAUUCUUAUUAAAAGGACUUCAAGGACUCUAGUUUCCUGUAUCCCCCACCUCCCUGCAUUGUGAUCUCGGAGGCUGGCCCCCCUGCGGGAGGCCCCUUGUGAGACUUCACAGGGCCUCUCCUUGAGCCCAGGCUCCUACUUUUGCCCAGAUCAUUUCUGGCUGACAGGCCCUGGAGCAGUUCCAUCUUCCGGGCAGAAUAAGGUUUUAUUCUAGUUCGUAAAAUGAAUACUUUUGGAUAUAUUAUUGUUAUUAAAAAGUCAGGGGGCUGAUGGUUUCCGGUAUCCAUUAAACAAAACUGCUUGUUAUUUUGGAAGGGAUACUGAAUGCGAUAUCCAGCUUCAGCUUCCAGUAGUACCCAAGCAGCAAUGCAAGAUUGAAUUUAAUCUACAACUUAAGGA